RNAcentral lists this ribosomal RNA (372 nucleotides) under uncultured organism. Its description in RNAcentral is "partial 16S ribosomal RNA". It matches the Rfam family "Bacterial small subunit ribosomal RNA", at positions 527 to 896 of the family's 1533-position model. The record is from RNAcentral.
GUAGGUGGCAAGCGUUGUCCGGAAUUAUUGGGCGUAAAGCGCACGCAGGCGGUUCUUUAAGUCUGAUGUGAAAGCCCACGGGCUCAACCGUGGAGGGUCAUUGGAAACUGGAGAACUUGAGUACAGAAGAGGAAAGCGGAAUUCCACGUGUAGCGGUGAAAUGCGUAGAGAUGUGGAGGAACACCAGUGGCGAAGGCGGCUUUCUGGUCUGUAACUGACGCUGAGGCGCGAAAGCGUGGGGAGCAAACAGGAUUAGAUACCCUGGUAGUCCACGCCGUAAACGAUGAGUGCUAAGUGUUAGGGGGUUUCCGCCCCUUAGUGCUGCAGCUAACGCAUUAAGCACUCCGCCUGGGGAGUACGGCCGCAAGGCUG